Molecule: long non-coding RNA, 701 nt
Organism: Micropterus salmoides (largemouth bass)
Lineage: Eukaryota; Metazoa; Chordata; Actinopteri; Centrarchiformes; Centrarchidae
Exons: 3
Source: RefSeq, a predicted model, not a curated record
CCUGUGCCCUGUGAUCCAGGGACAUAUGUUGCUGUUACACACGCUAGCCAGUGUGAGCCCUGUGUGCCAGGCUGGCACUGUGUGUCUGGCUCCCUGUACUUGUGUCCUGCAGGCUUUUACUGCCCUGAAGGAACAGGAUUUGACUUGAGAGGCUGUCCAGAGGGAACUUACGGCCCUGACCCCGGCUACUGGUCUGUCUCUCAGUGCAGGCAGUGUGACGGCGGCCAUUACUGUUCUUCCCGAAAUGGCACAGCUGUCACUGGACCAUGUCAGGAAGGAUAUUACUGCUCACAUGGAAACACCUCUCCACAACCUUUCUCACAGGCUGCAGGAGAGGGAGGGCCAUGUCCUGCCGGUCAUUACUGCCCCCAGGCCACUGUCCAUCCUCUGCCCUGUCCACGUGGAACAUUCUCUAACCUCACCAAAUUAGUCUCCCAGGUCUCUUUGACUCAAUAUCGCACUCACAUGUCUCCUUGACAAUUACUGAGAGAGAAGACAUUCUCUCAAAAUAACACAAGGAUGACAUUUGGAUGUGAAUAUAGAAAAAAUACAAUAGAUAUUCAUUCAGAUCGUAGCAACAACCAGCAGCAUAAAUAGCUCUUCAUUGUUUAUCUUGAUUGACAGACCAAGACUUGAUGAAAAGUGUCGUUAUGAAAUAAAAUGGUCAUUAGGAAAAAUGGAAAAAACAUUUCACAAUAAAU